This 583-nucleotide ribosomal RNA is filed under the name Trichoderma viride. RNAcentral's name for it is "partial large subunit ribosomal RNA". It matches the Rfam family "Eukaryotic large subunit ribosomal RNA", at positions 50 to 655 of the family's 3401-position model. Lineage: Eukaryota; Fungi; Ascomycota; Sordariomycetes; Hypocreales; Hypocreaceae. RNAcentral also lists the same sequence under 1 other name. The record is from RNAcentral.
GCGGAGGAAAAGAAACCAACAGGGAUUGCCCCAGUAACGGCGAGUGAAGCGGCAACAGCUCAAAUUUGAAAUCUGGCCCCUCCGGGUCCGAGUUGUAAUUUGUAGAGGAUGCUUUUGGUGAGGUGCCGCCCGAGUUCCCUGGAACGGGACGCCACAGAGGGUGAGAGCCCCGUCUGGCUGGCCACCGAGCCUCUGUAAAGCUCCUUCGACGAGUCGAGUAGUUUGGGAAUGCUGCUCAAAAUGGGAGGUAUAUGUCUUCUAAAGCUAAAUAUUGGCCAGAGACCGAUAGCGCACAAGUAGAGUGAUCGAAAGAUGAAAAGCACCUUGAAAAGAGGGUUAAACAGUACGUGAAAUUGUUGAAAGGGAAGCGCUUGUGACCAGACUUGGGCGCGGCGGAUCAUCCGGGGUUCUCUCCGGUGCACUUCGCCGCGUUCAGGCCAGCAUCAGUUCGUCGCGGGGGAAAAAGGCUUCGGGAACGUGGCUCCUCCGGGAGUGUUAUAGCCCGUUGCAUAAUACCCUGCGGUGGACUGAGGACCGCGCAUCUGCAAGGAUGCUGGCGUAAUGGUCACCAGCGACCCGUCUU